This 472-nucleotide ribosomal RNA is filed under the name uncultured bacterium. RNAcentral describes it as "bacterial SSU rRNA". It matches the Rfam family "Bacterial small subunit ribosomal RNA", at positions 329 to 793 of the family's 1533-position model. The record is from RNAcentral.
CGCCAGACUCCUACGGGAGGCAGCAGUGGGGAAUAUUGCGCAAUUGACGAAAGUCUGACGCAUCUACGCCGCGUGAGGGAUGAAGGUUUUCGGAUCGUAAACCUCUGUCAGGAGGGAAGAAAGCGCAUGGCGCCAAUCAGCCAUGCGUUGACGGUACCUCCAAAGGAAGCGCCUGCUAACUCCGUGCCAGCAGCCGCGGUAAUACGGAGGGCGCGAGCGUUAAUCGGAAUUACUGGGCGUAAAGCGCGCGUAGGCUGUUGUGUAAGUUGGGGGUGAAAUACCACGGCUCAACCGUGGAACAGCCCUUGAUACUGCGCGACUUGAAUACGGGAGAGGGUGGAGGAAUUCCAGGUGUAGGAGUGAAAUAAGUAGAUAUCUGGAGGAAAAUCAGUGGAGAAGGAGGCCACCUGGACAGGUAUUGAAGAUGAGGCGCGAAAGAGUGGGGAGCAAAAAGGAUUAGAUACCCGCGUAG